UUAUUUCGGCUCCUGCCGGGCCCCGCCUU
RNAcentral lists this small RNA (29 nucleotides) under Bombyx mori (domestic silkworm). Its description in RNAcentral is "ovarian small RNA-36910". The record is from RNAcentral. Lineage: Eukaryota; Metazoa; Arthropoda; Insecta; Lepidoptera; Bombycidae.